AUGCCACCUUCCGUGCACGACACGGAAGGCCUGCCGUUCAUGAAGCAUGGUCGUGUCUUCAGUGCGCACCGCCGGAUGAACGUCAUGCUGGGACACGCUAUCCCUGAUUUAUGCCGCUUCAGCUUGGAUGAGUCUCCAUCGUGUGGAACCGGACUAGAAAGCUACGACAAUGAUUCCCGUUGCCCACCGCUAUGGAUCGUGCCAUCCAUGAAGAACACCUGGGACUGGAACCUGGAGGAGGACAUUAGUACUAGUAGAAUUGAGAUUGAAUGCACUUUCUUCCCCGUCUUGCACUCUUCUUCCUCCUCUCUUCUUCUUCCUCCUCUCUUCUUCUUCCUCCUCUCUUCCCCAUCGUCGGCCGCACACCAUUUACCCCCACUCACUGCUCACCUACCCGCGCCAUCUUCCUUGCCGGUGCUGCCAGCUGGCGUCAAGUUCAAUCCCACGGAUCAGGAGCUGAUCGAGCACCUUGAGAUCAAAGUGAGUGCUGACUGCGCGAGAUUUCAGUCUCUCAUCGAUUUGUUCAUACCAACCAUCGACAGCGAGCACGGCAUAUGCUACACCCAACCUAAGAAACUUCCAGCGCAAUUCCAGGGCAUUCAAAAGGGGCACGUGGACGCGUCGCAAGAUACAGUCGGAGUGUGGUAUGCACGCGAUGUGGCACAAGACCGGCAAUACCUUGCCGGUGAUGGUCAACGGCCGGCAAGACGGGCAGCAAAAAAGGUUCUGGUGCUGCACACCAACAAGAACUUUGACCAGCAGAGGACCAACUGGGUGAUGCACCAGUACAACCUCGGGGAACUGGAGCAAGAGAAGGAGCUGGUCCUCUGCAAGAUUUUCUACCAGAUAAAACACUAG
RNAcentral lists this ribosomal RNA (858 nucleotides) under Triticum aestivum (bread wheat). RNAcentral's name for it is "partial small subunit ribosomal RNA". The record is from RNAcentral. Lineage: Eukaryota; Viridiplantae; Streptophyta; Magnoliopsida; Poales; Poaceae.